GAUGAAGGAACGCAGCGAAAUGCGAUACGUAAUGUGAAUUGCAGAUUUCAGUGAAUCAUCGAAUCUUUGAACGCACAUUGCGCCCGCCAGUAUUCUGGCGGGCAUGCCUGUUCGAGCGUCAUUUCAACCAUCAAGCCUUCGCUUGUGUUGGGGCCCCGCGGCUGCCGCGGUCCCCUAAAUCCAGUGGCGGGCUCGUCGUCGUACCGAGCGCAGUAGACAUCCUCGCUCCGGGAACCCGACGGGUGCCGGCCGUGAAACCCCCCACAUCAAGGUUGACCUCGGAUCAGGUAGGAAUACCCGCUGAACUUAAGCAUAUCAAUAAGCGGAGGA
Molecule: unclassified non-coding RNA, 330 nt
Filed under: soil metagenome
Description: partial contains 5.8S ribosomal RNA, internal transcribed spacer 2, and large subunit ribosomal RNA
Rfam family: 5.8S ribosomal RNA (bases 1-121)
Source: RNAcentral